GAGGGCAUAGCUCAAGUGGUAGAGCGCAUGCUUAGCAUGCAUGAGGUCCUGGAUUCAGUCACCAGUACCUCCA
This is a transfer RNA of Camelus ferus (Wild Bactrian camel), 73 nucleotides long. It matches the Rfam family "tRNA". From Rfam's summary of the family: Transfer RNA (tRNA) molecules are approximately 80 nucleotides in length. Their secondary structure includes four short double-helical elements and three loops (D, anti-codon, and T loops). The record is from Rfam. Lineage: Eukaryota; Metazoa; Chordata; Mammalia; Artiodactyla; Camelidae.